CUGAGAAGGUCAGCGAUUUUUUUUUUCAAGUUGGUCUCAUUAACAAUAAUUAUUUUAUGCAUAGCAACAAGAAUUUGAGGCCACUUUCGACAAAACAGAAUGCCACUUUAAAGAAGCUGAAAGAGCAAGGCAGCAAAGGAAACAGGAGGGAGGGCGAGGGGGGAGUAGCUCCUUCAGGAAACUGAAAUUAAAGGCAGCUGUGGUGGUGUGUUCCCGUCAUCCCAGCAGGAGUAGCAGAAGCAGGAGGAUUGCUGCAAGUCUGAGGCCAGUGUGGGGAAUACACCAGCCACACAGGAGCAAGACAAGCAAAGAACAAGGAAAGCCAAGGAUGGGCAGUGUAAGUGAGCACAGACCGCGGUUCCGAGGCUCCUAGCUGACGGGGAACUCAGAAGUGACAUCAUUCUUGCUGUAUAAAAGGAGGCGCACAGUUUUAAGGAUUGUGGAAAGAUUUGGAGCUAUGGACUAGGAAAGAAGUUGGACACGGUUGCAAUGAAAAAGAGAAAGUGGGCCAGAAAGAAAUACAUAAUGUCCAGUCUGAAGAGAAAAGGGCACCAGGAAACUAAAUGUUGCUGAAAGAGAUAUGGAGAUUGUAGCAAGUAUCUUAACAAGUCUUAUUAAUAAAAUCAAACCUAAGCCAGGUAUUGGGGUGAACACUGGAAGAUCAGAGAAGCAGAAC
Molecule: long non-coding RNA, 676 nt
Organism: Peromyscus leucopus (white-footed mouse)
Lineage: Eukaryota; Metazoa; Chordata; Mammalia; Rodentia; Cricetidae
Exons: 3
Source: RefSeq, a predicted model, not a curated record